CAACUCGACUGCAUGAAGCUGGAAUCGCUAGUAAUCGCGAAUCAGAAUGUCGCGGUGAAUACGUUCCCGGGCCUUGUACACACCGCCCGUCACACCAUGGGAGUUGGAAGCACCCGAAGUCGGUGACCUGACCGAAAGGGAGGAGCCGCCGAAGGUGAAGCCAGCGACUGGGGUGAAGUCGUAACAAGGUAAC
RNAcentral lists this ribosomal RNA (193 nucleotides) under uncultured bacterium. RNAcentral's name for it is "partial 16S ribosomal RNA". It matches the Rfam family "Bacterial small subunit ribosomal RNA", at positions 1308 to 1500 of the family's 1533-position model. The record is from RNAcentral.